AAAACUGAAGAGUUAAUUCAAUCUCAAGUAGGAGCUAUUGAUAAAUUUUUAAUCAAAGAACCACAAGUUUCAAAUGAAAGUCAUUAUGUUGAUAAUAUUGAUGUUGAAUUUCUUGAUAAUGUGCCCAUUGAAAAUGAUAAUCUUGAUAGUGUGCCUUUUGAAAAUGAUAAUCUUGAUAGUGUGCCCAUUGAAAAUGAUAAUCUUGAUAGUGUGUCCAUUGUUG
RNAcentral lists this long non-coding RNA (223 nucleotides) under Lathyrus oleraceus (garden pea). Its description in RNAcentral is "Pisum sativum (pea) long non-coding RNA (PSAT_LNC012318)". The record is from RNAcentral. Lineage: Eukaryota; Viridiplantae; Streptophyta; Magnoliopsida; Fabales; Fabaceae.